This 449-nucleotide long non-coding RNA is filed under the name Homo sapiens (human). Its description in RNAcentral is "HSALNT0362139". Lineage: Eukaryota; Metazoa; Chordata; Mammalia; Primates; Hominidae. The record is from RNAcentral.
GAAAUGUUGAGAAGGGUAGACUGAUGACUACCCCUCAGUGGAAACAGACCAGAUCUCAGCUUAUCUGGCUGGAAGGAAAGCAAAAAAACAAAGCAAAACCAACCAAAAAAUCCUAAGAAACAAAAGACAGAUUCAAGCCAAUCUGUGAUUUGUAAAAUAAGCCAGGUGCAGGCUUGUGUGCCUUCAGCUGAAUGUAAGAAGUCCAGCUAUCAUGAAGUCUCCAUGUGGACAGACAAUUCAGAGGAAUGAGAGAGAGAGAGACCUGAGCAGCUAGCAGUGCCAGCACCUAGAUGUUUGAAUCUUCCCAGCCCAGAUACAUGAUGGAAAAAACUUCAAGAUGCCCAUUGGACAGCAACCACAUGAAAGACCUGGAGUGAGAACUCCUAAGCUGAGAUCUCACUCUUUCAGACUCCAGAGCCAAAUAAAUAAUUAUUAAUGUUUAAGCCACU